GACGAACGCUGGCGGCGUGCUUAACACAUGCAAGUCGAACAGAAAGGCCCUGCUUUUGUGGGGUGCUCGAGUGGCGAACGGGUGAGUAACACGUGAGUAACCUGCCCUUGACUUUGGGAUAACUUCAGGAAACUGGGGCUAAUGCCGGAUAGGAGCUCCUGCUGCAUGGUGGGGGUUGGAAAGUUUCGGCGGUUGGGGAUGGACUCGCGGCUUAUCAGCUUGUUGGUGGGGUAGUGGCUUACCAAGGCUUUGACGGGUAGCCGGCCUGAGAGGGUGACCGGCCACAUUGGGACUGAGAUACGGCCCAGACUCCUACGGGAGGCAGCAGUGGGGAAUAUUGCACAAUGGGCGGAAGCCUGAUGCAGCAACGCCGCGUGCGGGAUGACGGCCUUCGGGUUGUAAACCGCUUUCGCCUGUGACGAAGCGUGAGUGACGGUAAUGGGUAAAGAAGCACCGGCUAACUACGUG
This 468-nucleotide ribosomal RNA is filed under the name uncultured bacterium. Its description in RNAcentral is "partial 16S ribosomal RNA". It matches the Rfam family "Bacterial small subunit ribosomal RNA", at positions 28 to 507 of the family's 1533-position model. The record is from RNAcentral.